Long non-coding RNA from Bubalus bubalis (water buffalo), 5545 nucleotides. RefSeq lists it as uncharacterized. The record is from RefSeq and is a predicted model, not a curated record. The transcript has 3 exons. NCBI's taxonomy places the organism in Eukaryota, Metazoa, Chordata, Mammalia, Artiodactyla, Bovidae.
CAGGCGAGGGCGAAGUUUGGGGGCUCACUGGAGCAGGACCCCAGAGGUGGGCAGAGCCGCCGCGGCGGGACUUACCUGUCUCCCGCUCUUGAUGAGCCGGCUGAGACGGCGCCGUGGAUAGCUGGCAGGGCAGGUCCUCUCCCUUAGUGAAAGGGGCUCGCUUGGAGAACUCCAGCACCGAAGUGAGGGCCUGGGAGCGGACAUGGGGUCCCGGCUGGGGACACGGCAACCCUGAGGGCUGGGGAGUCAGCCAAGCAUCGGUGAGUGGACACGAAAGAUCCGCGCGCUGCACGGUGGUUUGCAGGCUCUUCGCAAUCGCCCGGCAAACACAAUCCCACCCGAUGCGGUUUUGAUUCUUGGCGCAGAAUAAGCGCCCUCGGGGGUGGGAUUUAUGUUUCACUCGCAGUCCUCCGAGCUCGGACUCUGCCCAGAUGCCGGGAACUCCAUCCAACAGAAUGCCCCUCCUCGAAAACACCCCCAAACACCUGAAGAGUGCAGGGCUCGCCGCGAAGUCCCUGAACUCGGUACCACACGGCGCGCCCGCGUUCGGGAGCAAAGGGGAGUACAUGCCAGGGAGCCGGGAGCCGGGGUCUGCAACCUAAUGUAGGCCCUCCACCCAGCGCCUGCGUGGACCUGCCCUGGGGCGUGGUUCCCAUCACGACCCGGCCCAAGGCCGCCAUUGCGGGAUUAGCAGCUCUCUUUUUCCUCCAUCCCACCCAUGGACCCCAAACGAAAUUUUAAUUUCGUCUGUUCUCCGUGGAAUUUAAGUCCUACUUGUCGGAGCUUUCGUAGUAACUCGGUUUGGGAAAACUGUGAAUAAUCCGGUUUGGCAGGGAAGGGAGGGGGAUGAAAAGUCUUCCCUCCGCUGGGCGGGGAGCGAGGUGGUUAAAGCCCCCACUCUCGGUGAGGCCCGCGAGGGGAAGGGGAAGUCUGUAGGGGCCCGCGUGCCCCGCCACACACAGGGAUUUGACUCUUGCUGAAAUGUGCAUGAGUAAUUGUCUCUUUUCUUCUUGAUGGAGCAGUGAAUGAGCGUGGGCUGGCUCUCCGCGCUCCGGGUGCGCUUACCUCCGCGCUCCUGAGAGCUUUCUCAGUGAUUGGCCUCAUUUUCCAGAUCACCUGGGAGAAGUUCCCGGGAAGGGGAAGGGGGAGACCAUGGGGUCAGCGCCGCCCAGAGAUCCUGGCACCGCUCGGCAGGCGGGCUGUGCCCUGUGUUCUCCGGCAGGCUCGGUCCUCAGUCACUUUCCCCGUGUCAUUGCUUUAUUUCCAAAUUUCACUCCCGCCCCGGGAAAAAUCUUUUAUUGGGGUUUGACUGGGACAUUUAAAGUACACACGUAUACGAGGUCACCAAAUUCAUUAAAAACAAUACCAUGAACCACUCUUGGACCAAAUAACUCCCUCCCCUCCAAAAAAGAAAACGGUUAACAAAAAAUGGGGCGGCCCUUUUGAAGAUGCGUUAGAGGCGCCGCCAUCCGCGACGGGAAAGCCAUUUGGCUGGCCUUGGCCCCAGCCCGGUGCGGGGGCGGGAAACGGCCGGGUUGGGGGCGCGGGAGUUCCGGGCGGGUGUCCCAACCCCGGGCCUGUCCGGCGGACAGACCGCGGGACGCCGCGCUAGAUGCCCGCGGGGAGCGCAGACAGCUGGAGGGAGGCCCAAAGCCAACCCGUCUGCAACGAAGUCGCGCGUCUGGAACGAAGGCAGCUCAUCUGGUUUCUCCAGACCUUUCCAGACCCUCGCACGGAACCUAGGGCGUUCCGCCCAAGUCUCCAUCGCCCAGCCCCAGACGGAAGCCGCUGGUAGGACGUGGCUGGAGUGGGAGCAGCACCUAGAGAGCACUGACGAAGUGGGUGCGUGCAAGGGCUCACAGGGACACAACACACUCCCUCCCAGACGCCAACAGCCGCAACACACACUCCGUAGGCCACCACGCCACGCCCGCAACACACACACAACCGCAUCAAGCCCACCACACAGGUGACACGCACCUUGUUACUUAGCCCCAUCCCUCUAGACCCCCUGGAUCCAGCGGAAAGUCUAAAUGGUGGGGUUAUUGGUUUCACUUUCUGUAGCCAAGACUAGACCCUUUUGAGGUCCGGCGUGUUUUUCUUUCGUAAGAAAAGAGUAGGUCCAAUCCUGCGCCUAGUCUGGGUUGGAGUCUGGGAGAAGGGGGACAGCCGCACCUCUGUUGGGCUGGGCCUGGGAGAAUGACCGGAGUGCUUUGGCGAGGGGUCGGGAGUGUUGGGUGGAUGGAGGGGCCGGGCCUCCACAUGGAUGCCGAAGUCGCACCCGCAAACUCAAAGUAAGAGAAAUAAUCACGAGUACCAACAAUACCUACCCCCGCCCCCGCCGCCGCAAACCAAACUCCGCAGCCUUUAACCCUGUGUACCACCUAGUUGGGCUCUGGGGGUGAUGUUGGGGGGAGAGUGGACAAGGAGAGAGGGGUGGGAGGCAGCACAGUCCCUCCAUCACUCCUCCCAGCUCUUGCAACCCUCCUCCACUGGGCUCAGCUAAGGGAGGCCCGGGUGCGAAGCCGAAAGGAGGGGCGGGCUCUCGCCAAUCUGUUUAAGAAGGGAGAGGUGGCUCCCGCCGCUCCUCCUGCCCACAUCUAUCCUCAACGUCAAUCACCCUCGUUAAUUCCCACUGGAAAGGAUCACCCAGGAGAGGUUCAUCAACUGCUGCUUGGAAAAGGCUGGAGGGCAGGGAAGGGUGUAGAGGGGGAAAGGGCUUGUCCUUGCUGGAGGGGAUUGGGGGCUCUGCUCCUCCUGACCUCCAAGGGGAGCUGAACUGAGCUGAGCUAUCCUUUCUAUCUUCUCAGACCAGUUUACCCCUUCUCUCCAGUGAAAACUCCUCUCAACUUGUGAGCUGAUAUGCAUCUGUCCUGGCCCCACCUUGGCUGAGAGGUGGCUCCCAAUCUCUGAGGGAGACAAGUCCUUCCCAGAAAGUGCCCAAGAACUAAUGGGAACGGGGAAGCUCAGUCCCACUCCUGGCUACUACCAGGCAACCCAAUAGGGCACUGCUUAGCUGCCCCGGGGUGUGAGGGUGCGGGUAGUGAUUCUGUGACUGUGGGAGACACAGAGGGAUCCAGAUGGAAGCACUGUUCCUGAAAACAAACCUAAGGAAACUUCUGGCAUCUUUGAAGGCUAAGCACCCAGCACGGCACCCGGCACACAGGCUAAAUGGUGGCAUGUGGAAUAAAUGGAUGAGGUUUAAUGCUGAUUGGACCAUCAGCAUCUCCAAAGCUACAAGCCUCUCCCCUUGGUGGCUGUGGGUGUGGAGACUCAGCAAAGCCUGAAGAAUGAAAACAGUGGGCACUCAGAAAAGAGGACGGCCAGGGAGGACAGCCAAGAGAGGGGUUAAGCUGGCGGCUGUGGAUCGGACACUCCCAUUCCCAUAGCAGGGCCUAACUCCCACCAGGUCUCAGUCCCAGAGGGUCCAUGAGCAGAGUGGGUCUCCAUGACAGUGUUUGCAAUAUGGGGAUGUGAGCAUGUGACUAGUGUGUAACUGAGACUGCAUGUGUGUGACUCUUUGUGGCUUGGGUGUGGCUCUGCGCAUUGUAUGCUGUGUGGCUGUGGGCUGCAUGUGACCAUGGUGUGGCUGUGUGUGUGUGUGACUAUGUGGGUAGAAAUGGGCAUUGCCUGUGUGAUGCUGUGUAUGCCUCUCAGGGGCUGGCUCUAGAGCGCUGGGUGUCAGUGUGUGCACAUGGCUGUCUGUGCAGCUGUGCGUGCGCCUCUGGGAGGAGACAGCUGUCAUGGGUGUACAUGCCCGUGUAGGAUCUGUGAUGUUAUUCGAGUGUGCCUUCUAGUCUGGCUGCGUGAUGGUGAGUGUUUACGCCUGGUGGGUUACAUGCCCUCAGUGUGUCACUGCGUGUCCCUCGGGGACUCAGCGUGUCACUGUGUGUGACUGUGUGUGAGACAGCAUGCCCCUCAAACCACCUUCCUUGAGCAGCUUUGAUGUGGUUGUUUCUAGGGGCCGUAGGACGCCAGUCACACUCCUGAGGACUUCAAAAGAUGGCUGUCCUUUCUGUCAGCUGGGGAAAAACUCAUUUCCCCUCACCCUCACCCUAUCCUCUGCCUGUCUUAGAGGCCUGUUUGUUUUCCUAUUUGUACUGCCUAGGGUGAGUUCAUGGCCACAACUGACUCACCACUUUUCCAAGAGACUUGGGGAAGGAAACAGGGGUUGCUUGGCUGGGGCCUCUGCCCAUUAGCCCGGGGACUUUCAGAGCAGGGCCGGGGGGGACAUCGGGGUCCAUUCUGGGCUGUGUGAGCACCUCAAGCCAUUCACCCUCCCCAAACCUGCAAGGCCGAGGAGUCUUCUUUCACAGUAAUUGUCUAGUGGCCAGUCUCCUACCUCAAAUAAGAGGCCUCUCUCCUCAUCUAAAAGUUCUCCCUUCCCUUUGCCAAGGUCGAUUAAAAAGAAAGUUGGAGCUUUGGAGGGGCCCUUGGCAUCUCCCUGGGAAUCGGAGUCACCGCAGGUGAUCCACGCUUGGUCCAGUUGAAGCAGCAGCCCGUGUGGCUCGCCUCAGCAGCACUGUUUGGGCGCCCCCUAUGGGCAGAGGCUGCCCAGGCUGAAGGAGGCGGAGCUAGAGGCCCGCACGGUUUGAUGGGAGAGACACCGUCGCUGUCUCCGAGCCGGGGAGUCUUCGCGGGAGUCAGAACCCUCCAACACACAAGCUCUGAGAAGACGGACAAGGAGGAUUCAAACUGUCCCUCCCUGGGCCAGGAGGAGAGUCGUGUUCUGAGUCUGAGGUGGAAUCAGAGAAGGCUUCUGGAAAGGGCUGAGCGAAUUGAUGCAGGCUGGGAGGGAGAGGGCGUCCCGGGGACCGGACAGCUGGGAGAACUGGGGUGGAACAAAUAUAGGAGGUGAGGUGAGCGGGAGGAGGCUGCAGCGGCAUAACCCUCAUGUGACAUGGUGGGGGGCAGGGGAGGGGACUCUGGCUGGGCCCUGUCCAUGUGGCAGAGGAACUCUACCUGAACAGAGAAUCUGUGGAUGGGAAGUCCCUGCUGGCGUCUACCUGGUGUCCCUCCGGCUGCAGCUAGCGUAGAGCACCCGAGUCUCCCAGGAGGGAGCUCAGAGGCUGUCCCUCACCACACUUUUCCCAGCUCUAGCUUGGGGAGCUGAGGCCUUAACCUUACUCCCAGUCAGCUGGCCCAGGCUGCUGACCAUCCUGCCCCCACAUGCCCCUGCCAGGGUCUUACCAGCCAGUGAUGAAAACUUCCCUCCAUUCCUGCCCUCCUCAGCUGCUGCUUUGGAAGCUCACUCCACAGAACCUAUCCCUCCGCUCUCCUGACCCUGGCCUGAAACUCCUCUACUUCAAAGUUAGAGGUAUUUGGGCCACCCUCCUGGAGGAAUUGAGAAGCGCUUCAGACUAAGUCAAGGGGCCGGGCUUUAGGGGACUCACUGGGCAAGGUGUUUAGCCUCAGUUUCUCCAUCUUCAAAAUGGGGCCAAUGGCCCCUGCCCUGUUGGGCUCCCAGGGUGGGUGUAGGGAAGGUGCCAGUGAGCUCAUGGGUGUGAAGGCCCUGGUGAGCUGUAAAUAGUCUGGUGCUCGUGGG